AGUGAACGCUGGCGGUAGGCCUAACACAUGCAAGUCGAACGGCAGCACAGUAAGAGCUUGCUCUUACGGGUGGCGAGUGGCGGACGGGUGAGGAAUACAUCGGAAUCUACUUUUUCGUGGGGGAUAACGUAGGGAAACUUACGCUAAUACCGCAUACGACCUACGGGUGAAAGCAGGGGAUCUUCGGACCUUGCGCGAUUGAAUGAGCCGAUGUCGGAUUAGCUAGUUGGCGGGGUAAAGGCCCACCAAGGCGACGAUCCGUAGCUGGUCUGAGAGGAUGAUCAGCCACACUGGAACUGUGACACGGUCCAGACUCCUACGGGAGGCAGCAGUGGGGAAUAUUGGACAAUGGGCGCAAGCCUGAUCCAGCCAUACCGCGUGGGUGAAGAAGGCCUUCGGGUUGUAAAGCCCUUUUGUUGGGAAAGAAAAGCAGCAGGUUAAUACCCCGCUGUUCUGACGGUACCCAAAGAAUAAGCACCGGCUAACCUCGUG
RNAcentral lists this ribosomal RNA (492 nucleotides) under uncultured bacterium. Its description in RNAcentral is "partial 16S ribosomal RNA". It matches the Rfam family "Bacterial small subunit ribosomal RNA", at positions 29 to 507 of the family's 1533-position model. The record is from RNAcentral.